AGCUCAGCUGUCAUCCAGAAGAGACAGAGGCUCCCGGCUGCUCUCAGUGCUCUCCACUCUCUGUGGGGAAAGGAGCUGAACUCAGAGGCAGCCAUCCUGAGGCCACUUUUAGGAGUGGGAGGCAGCUGCUAACCCUCCCACCUCCCUCUGAAGUGAUGGGGCCUGGGCAAAACAUGCCUGUCUAAAGGUGAGGACUACUCCAUCCCUCCUGACCUCCUCGGUUGUCAUGGCCAGAGAUGGGGGCAUGUGGCCCAAUGCCCUCAUGGA
This 267-nucleotide long non-coding RNA is filed under the name Pan troglodytes (chimpanzee). RNAcentral's name for it is "long non-coding RNA NONPTRT011217". Lineage: Eukaryota; Metazoa; Chordata; Mammalia; Primates; Hominidae. The record is from RNAcentral.